AACGAACGCUGGCGGCAGGCCUAACACAUGCAAGUCGAGCGAAGUCUUCGGACUUAGUGGCGGACGGGUGAGUAACGCGUGGGAACGUGCCCUUUGCUUCGGAAUAGCCUCGGGAAACUGGGAGUAAUACCGUAUGUGCCCUACGGGGGAAAGAUUUAUCGGCAAGAGAUCGGCCCGCGUUGGAUUAGGUAGUUGGUGGGGUAAUGGCCUACCAAGCCGACGAUCCAUAGCUGGUUUGAGAGGAUGAUCAGCCACACUGGGACUGAGACACGGCCCAGACUCCUACGGGAGGCAGCAGUGGGGAAUCUUAGACAAUGGGCGCAAGCCUGAUCUAGCCAUGCCGCGUGAGCGAUGAAGGCCUUAGGGUUGUAAAGCUCUUUCAGUGGGGAAGAUAAUGACUGUACCCACAGAAGAAGCCCCGGCUAACUCCGUGCCAGCAGCCGCGGUAAAGUACAGUGU
Molecule: ribosomal RNA, 459 nt
Filed under: uncultured bacterium
Lineage: Bacteria
Description: bacterial SSU rRNA
Rfam family: Bacterial small subunit ribosomal RNA
Source: RNAcentral